UAAACUCGUAGACCCAAUCUUUUCCAG
RNAcentral lists this small RNA (27 nucleotides) under Bombyx mori (domestic silkworm). RNAcentral's name for it is "ovarian small RNA-18228". Lineage: Eukaryota; Metazoa; Arthropoda; Insecta; Lepidoptera; Bombycidae. The record is from RNAcentral.